GCCAUAAGGACACAUCAGUGGAUCAAACAAUUGAUGAACUACUAAUUCCUGCUAUUCUUGACAGUAAGCAAGAUAUAGAUCAAGUUAGAAAAAGAUUAAAUAUGAAGAAAUUGAAUAACUUGAAGACUGACAAGCUUUAUAAGAACUUCAGUUACAAUAAUAGUGCAACAGAGUCAAAUUCUUCUGGCCCAGUGAAAGAGCAACAGUUUCUAUGACUGGAGAAUGGUGUCAGAAACUGGAAUCAGAGUGACAGAUCUGCUCAUUGCUGUUGAUGUGUGAUUGCUCCAGGGGUCUCUCAGGAGGCAGAGAAGGAUACAGAUAACAGAGACAAGAAUAAGGAAGCAGAUGGUAAUAUUUUUACAACCAAUGUCAUGUCCUAGGGUCUAUGUUAUCCUUUUCCAUCUAUUUAUUAUUUGCAAGUCUGUCUUCUAACAUUGAGGAAAUAUACUUCUUAUUCUCAGUUUGACUGAUUUUAAGAGAAAGAACAUUAAAACAUAGUAAUUUAUACUACUUUUAA
Non-coding RNA from Myodes glareolus (Bank vole), 517 nucleotides. The record is from RefSeq and is a predicted model, not a curated record. Lineage: Eukaryota; Metazoa; Chordata; Mammalia; Rodentia; Cricetidae.